GAACAAAGACGAGAGCCUGAAAAAUGGUUGGAGGAAGCGAUCCUAAUUUCACUGAAGCGGAAAGAUAACCAUGGAACAAGUCUGCCAGCCCUCAACCCUGUCACUGGAGAGAAACUACCCCUGAACGCGCUAUCUGCCAAGGCUGCUCCUGGGUUCCUUAAAGUGGAGUGAAAACUUAAAGCACAUGAACAUUUCUGGUGCAGAAGACGUGAAGAUUCUUACGGCUCUCCCCCAGCCUGUUAACGACUGUUUCACCUAUACCUGCUCCCAUCUUGAAAUCCUCACCUUUAUCGUUUGCCCCAGCGCGUCUGCAGAGAAAUAAACUUUAUUGCCA
Puma concolor (puma) is the source of this 334-nucleotide non-coding RNA. NCBI's taxonomy places the organism in Eukaryota, Metazoa, Chordata, Mammalia, Carnivora, Felidae. The record is from RefSeq and is a predicted model, not a curated record.